GUGGGGAAUAUUGGGCAAUGGGCGCAAGCCUGACCCAGCAACGCCGCGUGAAGGAAGAAGGCUUUCGGGUUGUAAACUUCUUUUAUGAGGGACGAAGAAAAUGACGGUACCUCAUGAAUAAGCCCCGGCUAACUACGUGCCAGCAGCCGCGGUAAUACGUAGGGGGCGAGCGUUGCUCGGAUUGACUGGGCGUAAAGCGCGCGUAGGCGGUCCAUUAAGUGUGCGGUGAAAUUCGGAGGCUCAACCUCCGUCCCGCCGCGCAAACUGAUGGUCUUGAGAUUGGGAGGGGGAUGCGGAAUUCCUGGUGUAGCGGUGAAAUGCAUUGAUAUCAGGAGGAACACCGGCGGCGAAAGCGGCAUCCUGGCUUAUAUCUGACGCUGAGGCGCGAAAGCGUGGGUAGCAAACGGGAUUAGAUACCCGGGUAGUCC
RNAcentral lists this ribosomal RNA (428 nucleotides) under uncultured bacterium. RNAcentral describes it as "partial 16S ribosomal RNA". It matches the Rfam family "Bacterial small subunit ribosomal RNA", at positions 354 to 796 of the family's 1533-position model. The record is from RNAcentral.